CUUAAAUUGAAGAGUUUGAUCAUGGCUCAGAUUGAACGCUGGCGGCAGGCCUAACACAUGCAAGUCGAGCGGCAGCGGGAAGAAGCUUGCUUCUUUGCCGGCGAGCGGCGGACG
RNAcentral lists this ribosomal RNA (114 nucleotides) under Brenneria goodwinii. RNAcentral's name for it is "partial 16S ribosomal RNA". It matches the Rfam family "Bacterial small subunit ribosomal RNA", at positions 1 to 104 of the family's 1533-position model. The record is from RNAcentral. Lineage: Bacteria; Pseudomonadati; Pseudomonadota; Gammaproteobacteria; Enterobacterales; Pectobacteriaceae.